GGAUAACCUACCCUUAGGACCGGGAUAACCUUGGGAAACUGAGGCUAAUACCGGAUAGGCAAUUUUUCCUGUAAUGGUUUUUUGUUUAAAUGUUUUUUCGCCUAAGGAUGGGUCUGCGGCCGAUUAGGUAGUUGGUUAGGUAAUGGCUUACCAAGCCGUUGAUCGGUACGGGUUGUGAGAGCAAGAGCCCGGAGAUGGAACCUGAGACAAGGUUCCAGGCCCUACGGGGUGCAGCAGGCGCGAAACCUCCGCAAUGUGAGAAAUCGCGACGGGGGGAUCCCAAGUGCCAUUCUUAACGGGAUGGCUUUUCAUUAGUGUAAAAAGCUUUUGGAAUAAGAGCUGGGCAAGACCGGUGCCAGCCGCCGCGGUAACACCGGCAGCUCUAGUGGUAGCAACUUUUAUUGGGCCUAAAGCGUCCGUAGCCGGUUUAAUAAGUCUCUGGUGAAAUCCUGUAGCUUAACUGUGGGAAUUGCUGGAGAUACUAUUAGACUUGAGACCGGGAGAGGUUGGAGGUACUCCCAGGGUAGAGGUGAAAUUCUGUAAUCCUGGGAGGACCGCCUGUUGCGAAGGCGUCUAACUGGAACGGUUCUGACGGUGAGGGACGAAAGUUAGGGGCGCGAACCGGAUUAGAUACCCGGGUAGUCCUAACUGUAAACGAUGCGGACUUGGUGUUGGGGUGGCUUUGAGCUGCUCCAGUGCCGAAAGGGAAGCUGUUAAGUCCGCCGCCUGGGAAG
RNAcentral lists this ribosomal RNA (734 nucleotides) under uncultured archaeon. RNAcentral's name for it is "bacterial SSU rRNA". It matches the Rfam family "Archaeal small subunit ribosomal RNA", at positions 102 to 835 of the family's 1478-position model. The record is from RNAcentral.